ACAGAGGUCCCGAGCGUUAGGCGGAAUCACUGGGCUUAAAGCGUGUGUAGGCGGAUUGACAAGUACCUUGUGAAAUCCCACGGCUCAACUGUGGAACUGCUUGGUAUACUGUUGAUCUUGAGACAUCUAGGGGCAACUGGAACAAACGGUGGAGCGGUGAAGUGCGUAGAUAUCGUUUGGAACGCCAAUGGUGAAAACAGGUUGCUGGGGAUGUACUGACGCUGAGACACGAAAGCGAGGGGAGCAAAGGG
This 251-nucleotide ribosomal RNA is filed under the name uncultured prokaryote. Its description in RNAcentral is "partial 16S rRNA". It matches the Rfam family "Bacterial small subunit ribosomal RNA", at positions 525 to 775 of the family's 1533-position model. The record is from RNAcentral.